GCUGGGCAUGGUGGCCCAUGCCUGUAAUCCCAGCUACUCAGGAGGCUGAGGCAGGAGAAUCGCUUGCGUUCAGGAGGCAGAGGUUGCAGUGAGCUGAGAUUGCGCCACUGCACUCCAGCCUGGGUGACAAAGCGAGACUCCAUCUCAA
This is a non-coding RNA of Pan troglodytes (chimpanzee), 148 nucleotides long. It matches the Rfam family "Metazoan signal recognition particle RNA". From Rfam's summary of the family: The signal recognition particle (SRP) is a universally conserved ribonucleoprotein. The record is from Rfam. Lineage: Eukaryota; Metazoa; Chordata; Mammalia; Primates; Hominidae.